UCCUACGGGAGGCAGCAGUGAGGAAUAUUGGUCAAUGGGCGCGAGCCUGAACCAGCCAAGUCGCGUGAGGGAUGACGGCCCUACGGGUUGUAAACCUCUUUUGCCGGGGAGCAACGGGCGCCACGUGUGGCGCCACUGAGAGUACCCGGAGAAAAAGCAUCGGCUAACUCCGUGCCAGCAGCCGCGGUAAUACGUAGGGGGCUAGCGUUAUCCGGAAUUACUGGGCGUAAAGGGUGCGUAGGUGGUUUCUUAAGUCAGAGGUGAAAGGCUACGGCUCAACCGUAGUAAGCCUUUGAAACUGGGGA
Molecule: ribosomal RNA, 305 nt
Filed under: uncultured bacterium
Lineage: Bacteria
Description: bacterial SSU rRNA
Rfam family: Bacterial small subunit ribosomal RNA
Source: RNAcentral